Malus domestica (apple) is the source of this 295-nucleotide non-coding RNA. The record is from RefSeq and is a predicted model, not a curated record. NCBI's taxonomy places the organism in Eukaryota, Viridiplantae, Streptophyta, Magnoliopsida, Rosales, Rosaceae.
CGAAUCUUGAUAGGUAUACGCAUAAAACCUCUUCCUCCCCUCGACAAGGAAAAAAAACAUGAAAGUGACGAAGGGCAUCUGUCAGACCAAAAAGAGAAUCAAAGUCAUCAUCUCAUUUCCUCAGGAAUGAGUUUUUUCCGAAGACAAGUGGCGAAUCUCCGCACACUUUUAGGAAUUAAUCGUAUAUAUCAGAUAAAAUCAGUGCAUGAGCCGGUCCAGCAAUUUUUAUAUCUCAUGUGUAAAGCAGUGAGGAAGGAAGAUAUGAGUUAUUAUCAACAAAGGAAAUUGAACGAAA